This 659-nucleotide ribosomal RNA is filed under the name Alkalicoccobacillus gibsonii. Its description in RNAcentral is "bacterial SSU rRNA". It matches the Rfam family "Bacterial small subunit ribosomal RNA", at positions 78 to 719 of the family's 1533-position model. Lineage: Bacteria; Bacillati; Bacillota; Bacilli; Caryophanales; Bacillaceae. The record is from RNAcentral.
GCUUGCUUCAAAAACGUUAGCGGCGGACGGGUGAGUAACACGUGGGCAACCUACCUUAUCGACUGGGAUAACUCCGGGAAACCGGGGCUAAUACCGGAUAACAUCUAGCACCUCCUGGUGCCGGAUUAAAAGAGGGCUUCUUGCUCUCACGAUGAGAUGGGCCCGCGGCGCAUUAGCUAGUUGGAGAGGUAACGGCUCCCCAAGGCGACGAUGCGUAGCCGACCUGAGAGGGUGAUCGGCCACACUGGGACUGAGACACGGCCCAGACUCCUACGGGAGGCAGCAGUAGGGAAUCUUCCGCAAUGGACGAAAGUCUGACGGAGCAACGCCGCGUGAGUGAUGAAGGGUUUCGGCUCGUAAAGCUCUGUUAUGAGGGAAGAACACGUACCGUUCGAAUAGGGCGGUACCUUGACGGUACCUCAUCAGAAAGCCACGGCUAACUACGUGCCAGCAGCCGCGGUAAUACGUAGGUGGCAAGCGUUGUCCGGAAUUAUUGGGCGUAAAGCGCGCGCAGGCGGCCUUUUAAGUCUGAUGUGAAAUCUUGCGGCUCAACCGCAAGCGGCCAUUGGAAACUGGGAGGCUUGAGUACAGAAGAGGAGAGUGGAAUUCCACGUGUAGCGGUGAAAUGCGUAGAUAUGUGGAGGAACACCAGUGGCGAA